GACGAACGCUGGCGGCGUGCCUAACACAUGCAAGUUGAGCGACGAACCAGGGCUUGCCCUGGGGCAAAGCAGCGAACGGGUGAGUGACACGUGGGUAACCUACCCCGAUAACCGGGACAACCCGAGGAAACUCGGGCUAAUACCGGAUGUGCUCACUGGACUUCGGUUCAGUGCGUAAAGGAAGCUUCGGCCUCCGUAUCGGGAGGGGCCCGCGGCCCAUUAGUUUGUUGGUGAGGUAACGGCUCACCAAGACCGCGAUGGGUAGCUGGUCUGAGAGGACGAUCAGCCACACUGGGACUGAGACACGGCCCAGACUCCUACGGGAGGCAGCAGUGGGGAAUCUUGCGCAAUGCGCGAAAGCGUGACGCAGCAACGCCGCGUGGGGGAAGAAGGCCUUCGGGUUGUAAACCCCUUUCAGGAGGGACGAAGGUUCGGCGGUGAAUAGCCGUCCGGACUGACGGUACCUCCACAAGAAGCCCCGGCUAACUACGUG
RNAcentral lists this ribosomal RNA (493 nucleotides) under uncultured bacterium. Its description in RNAcentral is "partial 16S ribosomal RNA". It matches the Rfam family "Bacterial small subunit ribosomal RNA", at positions 28 to 507 of the family's 1533-position model. The record is from RNAcentral.